This 301-nucleotide ribosomal RNA is filed under the name Desulfobacteraceae bacterium. RNAcentral describes it as "partial 16S ribosomal RNA". It matches the Rfam family "Bacterial small subunit ribosomal RNA", at positions 1 to 280 of the family's 1533-position model. Lineage: Bacteria; Pseudomonadati; Thermodesulfobacteriota; Desulfobacteria; Desulfobacterales; Desulfobacteraceae. The record is from RNAcentral.
UUUAAUUGGAGAGUUUGAUCCUGGCUCAGAAUGAACGCUGGCGGCGUGCUUAACACAUGCAAGUCGCACGAGAACUCUUCUGCUUGCAGAAGAUAGUAAAGUGGCGCACGGGUGAGUAACGCGUGGGUAAUCUACCUCUGAAUUGGGGAUAACAUUGCGAAAGCGAUGCUAAUACCGAAUAAUAUCCCGAAAACUUAGGUUUUUGGGAUCAAAGAUGGCCUCUACAUGUAAGCUAUUGUUUGGAGAUGAGCCCGCGUACCAUUAGCUUGUUGGUAGGGUGAUGGCCUACCAAGGCAACGAU